Molecule: long non-coding RNA, 291 nt
Filed under: Elaeis guineensis (African oil palm)
Lineage: Eukaryota; Viridiplantae; Streptophyta; Magnoliopsida; Arecales; Arecaceae
Description: long non-coding RNA (EGUI_LNC056323)
Source: RNAcentral
UGAGUUUGAUCGAAUUAAAGAGUUUAAUUCGAUCAUUAAUUAAAAGCUGUUCUGAUUGAUCAAAAUGGUUCAGCUUGAUUUGACCUAAAUCGGCUAGAUUGUGUUCUAACCAAAUUAGUUUAAAUUGCACCUGAACUCACUACUGGCUAGAUGUGGAACCCAAUGGGUCACACACAAAAAGAAUUGAUCAUGGGUUUAAUUUGAUUAAACCAUGUUUGCAAGUUGAACAUGCUAGCACAUGUUGCAAACCCUAGCAUUUAGAUUCGAAUCGAAUUCGAAUCGGGUUCCGAU